UUAAUUGAAGAGUUUGAUCAUGGCUCAGAUUGAACGCUGGCGGCAGGCCUAACACAUGCAAGUCGAGCGGCAGCACAGAGAAACUUGUUUCUCGGGUGGCGAGCGGCGGACGGGUGAG
This 118-nucleotide ribosomal RNA is filed under the name Vibrio vulnificus. RNAcentral's name for it is "partial 16S ribosomal RNA". It matches the Rfam family "Bacterial small subunit ribosomal RNA", at positions 1 to 110 of the family's 1533-position model. Lineage: Bacteria; Pseudomonadati; Pseudomonadota; Gammaproteobacteria; Vibrionales; Vibrionaceae. The record is from RNAcentral.